UACACUCUUGGUAGUGGGGAGCCAUGGGAUC
RNAcentral lists this non-coding RNA (31 nucleotides) under Mus musculus (house mouse). The record is from RNAcentral. Lineage: Eukaryota; Metazoa; Chordata; Mammalia; Rodentia; Muridae.